GGCGAACGGGUGAGUAAUGCAUCGGAACGUGCCCAUGUCGUGGGGGAUAACGUAGCGAAAGCUACGCUAAUACCGCAUACGCCCUGAGGGGGAAAGCGGGGGAUUCUUCGGAACCUCGCGCGAUUGGAGCGGCCGAUGUCGGAUUAGCUAGUAGGUGAGGUAAAGGCUCACCUAGGCGACGAUCCGUAGCGGGUCUGAGAGGAUGAUCCGCCACACUGGGACUGAGACACGGCCCAGACUCCUACGGGAGGCAGCAGUGGGGAAUUUUGGACAAUGGGCGCAAGCCUGAUCCAGCCAUGCCGCGUGAGUGAAGAAGGCCUUCGGGUUGUAAAGCUCUUUCGGCCGGGAAGAAAUCGUGGUCUCUAACAUAGGCCAUGGAUGACGGUACCGGACUAAGAAGCACCGGCUAACUACGUGCCAGCAGCCGCGGUAAUACGUAGGGUGCGAGCGUUAAUCGGAAUUACUGGGCGUAAAGCGUGCGCAGGCGGUUUUGUAAGACAGAUGUGAAA
Molecule: ribosomal RNA, 509 nt
Filed under: uncultured Thauera sp.
Lineage: Bacteria; Pseudomonadati; Pseudomonadota; Betaproteobacteria; Rhodocyclales; Zoogloeaceae
Description: bacterial SSU rRNA
Rfam family: Bacterial small subunit ribosomal RNA
Source: RNAcentral